UUGGAGAGCCAGAUGGUUGACAAAGCUG
This 28-nucleotide non-coding RNA is filed under the name Rattus norvegicus (Norway rat). The record is from RNAcentral. Lineage: Eukaryota; Metazoa; Chordata; Mammalia; Rodentia; Muridae.